UCAGUUUGUAAAGCACUUCGAUCGAACAUCCUUCACAUGAUCACAUCUGUAUUUCAGUAUUUCCCUCGUCUUGUCUGAACUAGUAUCACCCAGUUCUGUGAACAUCAAGUAGGCAAAAAUACUUUACUUGCUGCAGCUCCAUGUUUAAUUUGCCUACAUACAAACGCGAAACCAUUUGCUGGUGUCAGCUUUCACUUCGAUCAAUCAUCAGAGCCGAAAGCUUUCUCAGCAGGUGGGGCCACUGAUUUUUGAUCCAAGGGGUAGAUCAGUGAAUAGUCAGAUUCCACAACAGUGCACAACAGAGGACGCAGAAGCACAAUUAAACUCGUCUAUCCACCCGUGUUUUCAAGAUGCCACACAAGAGCAAGAAGAAAGGCCAUGGUCACGAUAAAGACCCCAAGGACGCGAAAGAAAGCCAGGUCCUGCUGGAAAACAAUGCUUUUGCGUUAUUGUGAGUCAGGAGAGGGCUCCAGACAGCCCUGUGUGGUAAUCAUCAGAUCAAUGUGGGGAGUGGCUGUUUGAGGAGGCAUGAACGGCAAGAUCCUGCGGUGAGGAGAGCGGGGCAGAGCAGGGUGGAACAAACUUCUUUCAGAGUUUCUCCUCCUGAUCCCUCAUGGCGUACGCAGCAUACUGGAUGAGCCUUAAAGGAGAGGCUCCUGCCUCCCCACAGAUCCAUCAUAGCAGCAGGUCUUCAAACUCCUAUUCCACUGCAGAGUCCUACUAUGGCAAGGUACUGACUCCCCUCCUCCUGCUGUAGAAGGAUGAAUCUCUCAAAAUUCAAUAUA
Long non-coding RNA from Notothenia coriiceps (black rockcod), 785 nucleotides. RefSeq lists it as uncharacterized. The transcript is spliced from 3 exons. NCBI's taxonomy places the organism in Eukaryota, Metazoa, Chordata, Actinopteri, Perciformes, Nototheniidae. The record is from RefSeq and is a predicted model, not a curated record.